GACGAACGCUGGCGGCGUGCUUAACACAUGCAAGUCGAACGGAAAGGCCCUGCUUUUGUGGGGUGCUCGAGUGGCGAACGGGUGAGUAACACGUGAGUAACCUGCCCUUGACUUUGGGAUAACUUCAGGAAACUGGGGCUAAUACCGGAUAGGAGCUCCUGCUGCAUGGUGGGGGUUGGAAAGUUUCGGCGGUUGGGGAUGGACUCGCGGCUUAUCAGCUUGUUGGUGGGGUAGUGGCUUACCCAGGCUUUGACGGGUAGCCGGCCUGAGAGGGUGACCGGGCACAUUGGGACUGAGAUACGGCCCAGACUGCUACGGGAGGCAGCAGUGGGGAAUAUUGCACAAUGGGCGGAAGCCUGAUGCAGCAACGCCGCGUGCGGGAUGACGGCCUUCGGGUUGUAAACCGCUUUCGCCUGUGACGAAGCGUGAGUGACGGUAAUGGGUAAAGAAGCACCGGCUAACUACGUG
RNAcentral lists this ribosomal RNA (468 nucleotides) under uncultured bacterium. RNAcentral's name for it is "partial 16S ribosomal RNA". It matches the Rfam family "Bacterial small subunit ribosomal RNA", at positions 28 to 507 of the family's 1533-position model. The record is from RNAcentral.